RNAcentral lists this ribosomal RNA (482 nucleotides) under uncultured bacterium. Its description in RNAcentral is "partial 16S ribosomal RNA". It matches the Rfam family "Bacterial small subunit ribosomal RNA", at positions 30 to 507 of the family's 1533-position model. The record is from RNAcentral.
AUUGAACGCUGGCGGCAUGCCUUACACAUGCAAGUCGAACGGUAACAGGUCUUCGGAUGCUGACGAGUGGCGCACGGGUGAGUAAUACAUCGGAACGUGCCCGAUCGUGGGGGAUAACGGGGCGAAAGCUUUGCUAAUACCGCAUACGAUCUACGGAUGAAAGCAGGGGACCGCAAGGCCUUGCGCGGACGGAGCGGCCGAUGGCAGAUUAGGUAGUUGGUGGGAUAAAAGCUUACCAAGCCGACGAUCUGUAGCUGGUCUGAGAGGACGACCAGCCACACUGGGACUGAGACACGGCCCAGACUCCUACGGGAGGCAGCAGUGGGGAAUUUUGGACAAUGGGCGAAAGCCUGAUCCAGCCAUGCCGCGUGCAGGAUGAAGGCCUUCGGGUUGUAAACUGCUUUUGUACGGAACGAAAAGACUCUUUCUAAUAAAGAGGGUCCAUGACGGUACCGUAAGAAUAAGCACCGGCUAACUACGUG